RNAcentral lists this non-coding RNA (146 nucleotides) under Chondromyces apiculatus. Lineage: Bacteria; Pseudomonadati; Myxococcota; Polyangiales; Polyangiaceae. The record is from RNAcentral.
AACAGGGAAGCCGGUGACAAUCCGGCGCGGCCCCCGCCACUGUGACCGGGGACGAAGGCGGAGCAUCCACUGGAUCUCCGGCGCCUCCAUCGAAGCGCCGGGUCUGGGAAGGUCCGCCGGAGGACGAUCCGGGAGCCAGGAAACCU